UAUGGGUUAGGUGGUCGGACGGGUGGAGUAACGACGUGGGUACCGUAGCUACUACAGGGGAGUAACACUUAGAAUAAGUAGCUAAACCGACCAUAAGCGCACAGCUUCGCAUGAAGCGGUGUGAAAACUACCGGUGGUGUAGAUGGACCCGCGUCUGAUUAGCUUGUUGGCGGGGUAACGGCCCACCAAGGCGACGAUCAGUAGCCGGCCUGAGAGGGCGGACGGCCACAUUGGGACUGAGACACGGCCCAGACUCCUACGGGAGGCAGCAGUGGGGAAUAUUGCACAAUGGGGGAAACCCUGAUGCAGCGGCGCCGCGUGAGUGAAGAAGUAAUUCGUUACGUAAAGCUCUAUCAGCAGGGAAGAAAUACUGACCUUACGGUCAGCAGACGGUACCUGAGUAAGAAGCCCCGGCUAACUACGUG
RNAcentral lists this ribosomal RNA (425 nucleotides) under uncultured Lachnospiraceae bacterium. RNAcentral's name for it is "bacterial SSU rRNA". It matches the Rfam family "Bacterial small subunit ribosomal RNA", at positions 84 to 507 of the family's 1533-position model. The record is from RNAcentral. Lineage: Bacteria; Bacillati; Bacillota; Clostridia; Lachnospirales; Lachnospiraceae.